This 619-nucleotide ribosomal RNA is filed under the name uncultured bacterium. Its description in RNAcentral is "bacterial SSU rRNA". It matches the Rfam family "Bacterial small subunit ribosomal RNA", at positions 46 to 711 of the family's 1533-position model. The record is from RNAcentral.
GCCUAACACAUGCAAGUCGAGCGAGACCUUCGGGUCUAGCGGCGGACGGGUUAGUAACGCGUGGGAACGUGCCCUUCUCUGCGGAAUAGCCACUGGAAACGGUGAGUAAUACCGCAUACGCCCUUCGGGGGAAAGAUUUAUCGGAGAAGGAUCGGCCCGCGUUAGAUUAGAUAGUUGGUGGGGUAAUGGCCUACCAAGUCUACGAUCUAUAGCUGGUUUUAGAGGAUGAUCAGCAACACUGGGACUGAGACACGGCCCAGACUCCUACGGGAGGCAGCAGUGGGGAAUCUUAGACAAUGGGCGCAAGCCUGAUCUAGCCAUGCCGCGUGUGUGAUGAAGGUCUUAGGAUCGUAAAGCACUUUCGCCAGGGAUGAUAAUGACAGUACCUGGUAAAGAAACCCCGGCUAACUCCGUGCCAGCAGCCGCGGUAAUACGGAGGGGGUUAGCGUUGUUCGGAAUUACUGGGCGUAAAGCGUACGUAGGCGGAUCAGAAAGUAAGGGGUGAAAUCCCAGGGCUCAACCCUGGAACUGCCUCUUAAACUCCUGGUCUUGAGUUCGAGAGAGGUGAGUGGAAUUCCAAGUGUAGAGGUGAAAUUCGUAGAUAUUUGGAGGAACACCA